RNAcentral lists this ribosomal RNA (189 nucleotides) under uncultured bacterium. RNAcentral describes it as "partial 16S ribosomal RNA". It matches the Rfam family "Bacterial small subunit ribosomal RNA", at positions 338 to 524 of the family's 1533-position model. The record is from RNAcentral.
CCUACGGGAGGCAGCAGUGAGGAAUAUUGGUCAAUGGGCGAGAGCCUGAACCAGCCAAGUCGCGUGAAGGAUGAAGGUUCUAUGGAUUGUAAACUUCUUUUGUCCGAGGGUAAAAAAGGCCACGUGUGGCUUCUUGCAAGUAUCGGACGAAUAAGCAUCGGCUAACUCCGUGCCAGCAGCCGCGGUAAU